UCGAACGAGUUCUGAUUAUUGAAAGGUGCUUGCAUCUUGAUUUAAUUUUGAACGAGUGGCGGACGGGUGAGUAACACGUGGGUAACCUGCCCUUAAGUGGGGGAUAACAUUUGGAAACAGAUGCUAAUACCGCAUAAAUCCAAGAACCGCAUGGUUCUUGGCUGAAAGAUGGCGUAAGCUAUCGCUUUUGGAUGGACCCGCGGCGUAUUAGCUAGUUGGUGAGGUAACGGCUCACCAAGGCAAUGAUACGUAGCCGAACUGAGAGGUUGAUCGGCCACAUUGGGACUGAGACACGGCCCAAACUCCUACGGGAGGCAGCAGUAGGGAAUCUUCCACAAUGGACGCAAGUCUGAUGGAGCAACGCCGCGUGAGUGAAGAAGGCUUUCGGGUCGUAAAACUCUGUUGUUGGAGAAGAAUGGUCGGCAGAGUAACUGUUGUCGGCGUGACGGUAUCCAACCAGAAAGCCACGGCUAACUACGUGCCAGCAGCCGCGGUAAUACGUAGGUGGCAAGCGUUAUCCGGAUUUAUUGGGCGUAAAGCGAGCGCAGGCGGUUUUUUAAGUCUGAUGUGAAAGCCCUCGGCUUAACCGAGGAAGUGCAUCGGAAACUGGAAAACUUGAGUGCAGAAGAGGACAGUGGAACUCCAUGUGUAGCGGUGAAAUGCGUAGAUAUAUGGAAGAACACCAGUGGCGAAGGCGGCUGUCUGGUCUGUAACUGACGCUGAGGCUCGAAAGCAUGGGUAGCGAACAGGAUUAGAUACCCUGGUAGUCCAUGCCGUAAAC
RNAcentral lists this ribosomal RNA (781 nucleotides) under Lacticaseibacillus rhamnosus. RNAcentral describes it as "bacterial SSU rRNA". It matches the Rfam family "Bacterial small subunit ribosomal RNA", at positions 62 to 807 of the family's 1533-position model. The record is from RNAcentral. Lineage: Bacteria; Bacillati; Bacillota; Bacilli; Lactobacillales; Lactobacillaceae.